RNAcentral lists this unclassified non-coding RNA (2599 nucleotides) under Venturia canescens. RNAcentral's name for it is "serine/threonine-protein phosphatase 2A catalytic subunit alpha isoform, transcript variant X3". Lineage: Eukaryota; Metazoa; Arthropoda; Insecta; Hymenoptera; Ichneumonidae. The record is from RNAcentral.
AAAAUGAAGCUGUAAAAGCUAUAAAUUUAAUUAACAAUAAGAAACUACAACUAUCGAUGUUUUAUGGUGAAUAUCGAUGCUAAUACCAGUAUAACAAUAAUACUUGAAUAACAUAAUAAAUUUGUACCCAAUAAUGCUAUUUUCAUCUCACGAUUGAUGUUAAAGAGAAAAAAAAUUGAAAAAACUGUAAUCGAACUAUCCAUUUAACCGAGCCAAGAUAUAAGUGCCUCACGAUUUUUCGAUUCGCUUGUGUUUCAUAAAACAAGAGACUAAAAACAAAUGCGAACAUAGCGUCGAUAUUGACAUUUCCCAGAAACAACAACAAAAUACAAACCGUACAUUCGUGUCUUCGUAAAUACUCGUAUAAAAUGUCAAAUUUACUUUGUAUUGUAUACGAUGAAAUACGGUGUUGACGGUUAAAUCUCAUUACGAGUGAUCGCUCGGUCGCGGAAGAUUUUGAGUCGUGAGUGUAACGGCUGUUGUGCGACUAUACUUACAAUUUAAUAAAUACAUUUCAAAUAAAAAAAAAACAUGGCCAAAGUCCGAAUGUCCACAACCAAAGCAACUCCGGCCCUGAACGUCCACGCGCGAAGUAUUAUACUGAGGACGCAGAUCUAUACAAUGGAGGAAAAGGCGUCACUAAAGGAGCUUGACCAGUGGAUAGAACAGUUAAACGAUUGCAAACAACUGACAGAAAGCCAAGUGAAAACUCUCUGCGACAAGGCUAAAGAAAUUCUGGCCAAAGAGUCCAAUGUACAGGAAGUGAAAUGUCCGGUUACCGUGUGUGGCGAUGUUCAUGGUCAGUUCCAUGAUUUGAUGGAAUUGUUUCGAAUAGGAGGCAAAUCUCCAGACACAAACUACCUGUUCAUGGGCGACUAUGUCGAUCGUGGUUAUUACUCCGUCGAAACAGUGACUCUCCUUGUUGCACUGAAGGUUCGAUAUCGCGAAAGAAUAACCAUCCUGAGAGGCAAUCAUGAAUCGAGACAAAUCACUCAAGUUUACGGUUUUUACGAUGAAUGUCUCCGUAAAUACGGAAACGCAAACGUGUGGAAAUUUUUUACUGAUUUAUUCGAUUAUCUGCCAUUAACGGCGCUCGUCGAUGGUCAAAUAUUCUGUCUACACGGCGGUCUCUCACCAUCGAUCGACACGCUGGAUCAUAUUCGUGCGCUGGAUCGUCUUCAAGAAGUGCCACAUGAGGGACCCAUGUGCGAUCUUUUGUGGUCCGAUCCCGAUGACAGAGGAGGGUGGGGAAUUUCUCCACGUGGUGCCGGUUAUACAUUCGGUCAGGACAUUUCUGAAACGUUUAAUCACUCAAACGGCCUGACUCUUGUGUCGCGAGCUCAUCAACUGGUCAUGGAGGGUUACAACUGGUGUCACGAUCGUAACGUCGUAACAAUAUUCUCGGCACCCAAUUAUUGUUACCGUUGUGGUAACCAAGCCGCAAUAAUGGAAUUGGAUGAUACUCUGAAAUAUUCAUUCCUCCAGUUUGAUCCAGCACCUCGGCGCGGUGAGCCACACGUAACUAGACGGACACCUGAUUACUUCCUGUAAGGAGUCGACGGAUAAGAGAAGCGGAAGAAAACAAAAAAGAACCCCGAAGGAGGUAGUUGUUAAGCUGGAUCCAUCAUCGCUAAUUGCAUACGCCUUCUGGUGACGUCUAAGGGAUAGGAAAAACUUUGAGCUACAGCACCGGCGAUUCCACCGCAGAGCAAUUUUGCUGGCAAUGUCAGUACCAAUCCACCUGUUUUAAGAAAGAGAGAGAGAGAGGGAAAAAAGAAAUGAUAAAAUGUCAAAUAAUCUGUACGUGUUUAUUUUUCUUCUUGACGUUACAAUUAUUUAUGAGUCAUCUUACAACUUCGAUCUGCAUCUGAACCUUCUGCAAUUGAUUUACAAUUUUUUGAUAAUUUUCAUGCACUUUUGAAAGCAUUUUCUAUUUUUUAAGACUUUUUGUAAACAAUUUUCAUCACAAUCUUCUGAAUUUAAUGUCAAAUUCUCUCUAUUUAUUAUGGUCAAUGAUUUGACUAUUUAUAAAAGUAAUUUUCAAUAUUAAAUUGCAAUAUAAAAACAACGAGUUUUAUUGUCCAACUAAACAUUUGCGUAAUUUACAAUCAGAGGUAGAUCAAGUUGAGCGCAAUGUCUCAUGUAUUUUAUAUGUACCGUAUAUGCAUAUAUGAAUAAUAUGUAAACUUCGUCGUAAUGAAAGCUCUUAAAUAUUGCAAAGAGAUGCGAAACCGUGGCAUUUUUUGUUGUUGAUUUUAUUAUUAUUCUUGAUUAUUUUCGUUUGUCAAAUUGAUUUUCGUCGUUUUCAAUCUCGUAUACGAUCGAGAAAGCACAUGCGUUAUAUUUCUGGCGUUACGAAAAACGGACAAAGAACUCACCAGUAUUUCUAGGGCAUUCGCUGCACAGUAAAUUCGGGGCGUAUCUCAUCGAGAAAUAUUUCAAUUUCUCAAAAGAAUAGAAGGAAAAUCCUGCGUAUGGGAUCAUGCCGAUAAUCGAGGGUAAAAAUCCUCGGUACAGGGCCCUCAGUCCACCCUCCUGAAAGAAAAUAUGAUUGAUGUAUAUCGCAACAAGAAAUAUCAAUAAAGAAUGUGGCAAGUGA